GCCGAGACGGAGCGCGGCAUCGAGGAGGUGCAGACCAGGCCGAGUUACCCCGAGAUCAAAGUGCAGCAGGUGGAGAGCAUCGGCGUGCUGGAGGAGACGCGGGAGAGCGAGGGCGAGUCCAGCGUGGACCCCACCAUGCCCCAGAUCCUGUGCGUCACCGGCGGCACCAUGGAGGAGGAGGAGACCACGGAGGGAGGGGAGACGUCCCAGGAGGAGGCGGCGGGAUGGGAGCAAGGAGAGGACGCCAAAGUGGAGAUAGACGACUCGUCGGACGAGCAGGCGCCUAUUGAGAACCCACAGGUGGAGCAAGUGUGUGAGACAUCGCAGGACGCCGGCGGCAGUGAGAGCCUUGCCAGCGCUCAUCAGGAGGAGGAAGAUGAGCUGGAGGUUUCUCAGGUGGGACAGUCCGAUGAUGUUGGUGAGAGCGGGACGGGCCCAGCCACAACGGAACAGGAGGAGAAGGUCAUCGAGGAGGCGGAGGUAGAGACGGAGGGAAUAGCGGCACAAAGAGACAAUGAGGAAGAGGAGGGUAAAGGAGUGAAGAGGAAGAGGGAAGAGGACGCGUCACAGAGCACAGAGAAGAAAAAGUGUAAUGAAGACGCCAUGGCCUCCAUGUUAGCCGACUUUGUGGCCUGUCCCCCUGAUGAAGAAGAGGGCCCCUCUGGAUCAGCCCAGCCCAGUCAGGACUGAUCCCAUUCCAGUUCUUAGCACUCACUCUUCAUCUGUCACACUUUUUACAGGUUUGGUUACCUCAUCAUCGUCAUCACACCCCUUGCCCUUUACAUGUUUUUAUUCAUUUAAUGUACAGAACCAUUCUCAGAAAGAGCUGCUGGAAGCUGCAUUUUAAAACUGUUGCCAAUAACUACACUAUUACAUCACGUUGAAAGAGGAAGCUCAAAUUACAUCACAGACCACUUAAAGAGCUGUCCAUAUGUGAUUGUUCUGUGCAGCCGCAUUGUGCUACAGACCCAAGUCCGGUUUCUCUUGAUUUCUAUGUAUCUGUUUUUGCUCACUGUCAUAUGAUAAAUAACUACUUGUAAAAUGAUUGCAUUGUUUCUUCUUUAGUUUGUGUCUCACACACUUCAACUUGAGCAUUUCACAGCCUGUUUAGAACACCUGAGAGACCUCCACUCAGGCAUUAAAUCGAUCUCACGAUGUGUAGGUGGAAUUUAACAUUAAUCUGCAUCCAGUCCAUGAAGAAUUGGUAAUGUGAGCAGAGCCUUGAUACCACGAGAGCAGGGGGUAGGGGUCUGAUACGCCAAUGAAAAUUAAAUAUGGGACCGAGUGUAGUUGGAGCAUGUUUCUGAGUAUUAGAUGCAAGGAUGUCAG
Molecule: long non-coding RNA, 1329 nt
Filed under: Neogobius melanostomus (round goby)
Lineage: Eukaryota; Metazoa; Chordata; Actinopteri; Gobiiformes; Gobiidae
Description: lncRNA (ENSNMLG00000019909.1)
Source: RNAcentral